Molecule: ribosomal RNA, 255 nt
Filed under: uncultured bacterium
Lineage: Bacteria
Description: partial 16S ribosomal RNA
Rfam family: Bacterial small subunit ribosomal RNA
Source: RNAcentral
UACGAAGGGGGCGAGCGUUGUUCGGAAUUACUGGGCGUAAAGGGCGCGCAGGCGGCCUUAGAAGUCAGAUGUGAAAGCCCCGGGCUCAACCUGGGAAUGGCAUUUGAUACUCUGAGGCUGGAGUACGGGAGAGGAGAGUGGAAUUCCCAGUGUAGAGGUGAAAUUCGUAGAUAUUGGGAAGAACACCGGUGGCGAAGGCGGCUCUCUCGGAGCCGUAACUGACGCUGAGGCGCGAAAGCGUGGGGAGCAAACAGG